UGGGGAAUCUUGCACAAUGGGGGCAACCCUGAUGCAGCGACGCCGCGUGAGCGAUGAAGCCCUUCGGGGUGUAAAGCUCUUUCGGCAGGGAAGAUAAUGACGGUACCUGCAGAAGCAGCUGCGGCUAACUACGUGCCAGCAGCCGCGGUAAUACGUAGGCAGCAAGCGUUGUUCGGAGUUACUGGGCGUAAAGGGUGUGUAGGCGGUUCUCUAAGUCUGGUGUGAAAUCUCCCGGCUCAACUGGGAGGGUGCGCCGGAAACUGGAGGGCUUGGAGUGUGGGAUGGGAGAGUGGAAUUCCUGGUGUAGCGGUGAAAUGCGUAGAUAUCAGGAGGAACACCUGCGGUGUAGACGGCUCUCUGGACCAUAACUGACGCUGAAACACGAAAGCGUGGGUAGCAAACAG
This 404-nucleotide ribosomal RNA is filed under the name uncultured bacterium. Its description in RNAcentral is "bacterial SSU rRNA". It matches the Rfam family "Bacterial small subunit ribosomal RNA", at positions 355 to 775 of the family's 1533-position model. The record is from RNAcentral.